GCAGAGUGAGCCCCUCAGCCCCGAAUCUGGAGUGGCCGCGGCCGGGAAACAGGAACCCGGGUUUAUUAUUAGCCGUCGGGGAAGAGGGGCCGGCAGCAGUUCCAACAGUGUGAUAACACACGGAAAACGGAAAUCCAAGGGAUCUAGCAAAAGGAUUCCACCCAGCAAAAACGCCAGCUUGGGAGAGGGCCCCUACCUAACUCCUUCCUUCUGGCCUCCACCCCUCCCCUGAUACGUUUCCUUCCGUCUAGUCUCGAGAUAACCCUUCAUCCCCCAGUUUCUUGACUCUGGCCGCUGUUCUUGAACAUUUCUUAAACACUUUCAGAGAAAGAUGGCUCAUGCACCUGCCUGCAAAACUUCCCAAACCGGGCCUCCCAGCUCCCCCAGACCCCGCAACAACUCACACCCGCCGGGGAAACUCCAGAAGGAAAAGGUCCGCCGGCCAGAGCUCUGGGCCCUUGGAAUCACCCCACCACCGCCCCUCUGGCUUCAGCCAAUCAGAAGCCGUCAGAAAAUAUUAUGCAAAUGAAUCCUGAUGCUCCAGCCAGUCAGAAGCCGCGGAGCCCUCCCCCACGCAGCGUCCUCUUUCACCCCAGCCCCGCCAAGCUGGCUGCCGCGUCCCUGGCAACCGGCGCGCAGCCAGUUCUCCACUACGCUUGGCUGUAAAAAAAUUAAAAUGGUUGCCUGGGGUCACAUGGGAGGGGAGCGGGCUGGCCCAGGCCUAAGGAAGGUUGGAAACCUCACUGAUUGCCCCAGGCACCUUCCCUGUCCCGAUCUGGAACAGGCUGGAGGUGCUGAGCCACCUGCCCGGAAUUCAGUUUGCCUCCAGAAAACAGAAGUCAUCCGUUGAACAAAUAACUUUCGAGUCCUUGUAGCACGCCAACAGCCUCAAAGCAAGAGGUCUUUGGUCUCUGCUUUCUAUCCUAUAUGCUAAAUUUCCGGUAAAAGCCUUGUCUGAGGUACCCAUCCCCACUUCUUGGUUCACAGUUGCAAUUCUGGAAUUCUGGAUCUCUUUUUUUUUGUUUUGUUUUUUUUUGAGACGGAGUCUCGCACUGUCGCCAGGCUGGAGUGCAGUGGAGCAAUCUCGGCUCACUUCAACCUCUGCCUCCCGGGUUCAAGUGAUUCUCCUGCCUCAGCCUCUCCAGUAGCUUGGACUACAGGCGCGCACCACCACGCCCAGCUAAUUUUUAUAUUUUUAGUAGAGACGGGGUUUCACCAUGUUGGCCAGGAUGGUCUCGAUCUCUUGACCUCUUGAUCCGCCCGCCUCGGCCUCCCAAAGUGCUGGGAUUACAGGCGUAAGCCACCAGCGCCCUGCCGGAACUCUUAAAUUCUGGUUCUUAAUUCCCACUCUUUUAAUUAAGCAACCUGGAAAGCAUGCUUUGCUGGCUCAUCUCCCCAAAAAUGUCCACAAAUUAUCCUUGUACUGUGUCCCUUGGAUAGUUUUUUUUUGGGGGGGGGGAAUGACAUUUUAAAAGUGACCAGAAAUUCCUGAACAAAGUAGUCAGCAAGAGUAAACUGGUGCAAGAAAGUCAGACUGGAUAAAGAAGAGAUCUGGCCUAGAACUGGAAGAAAGAUGAUAUUUUAAGGCAAGAAGCCAGCCCAACCCAAGAUAGCAGAGAUCCUGGAUUAUUUUGAGACAGACUUAGAAGGAUCCAUUUCAUGAAAAAUGUCCUAGAAAUAUGACAGUCAGACUCUCGUGUUAAAGGCCAUGUAGUCCAACCAUCCACUUGUGCUGAAAUCGCUCACAACAUCCCCACCAAGUGGUCGCCCUUGCCUACAUUCUUCUAUUUUCCGUUCUCCAGUGUUCUUCUAUCUUUUGGAGCUCUACAGAAGGCCAUGAAGCACACCAUCAGAUGUUUGAAGGAUAUUAUGAGAGACCUUGCUAAGUGCCUUGCUGAAGUCCCAAGCUAAUAGCCAGUUUUCUUCCUGUGGAGUCAAGAAGAAGGGCAUUUUUGUCAUAUACCACAAAGAAACCACCAUCACAUGAUACAAAAAUGCAGAAAUAGCAUCAUAAUAAUCUGAGUUAAGAUGGGGAAGGGAGUGUAUCUUAUUGUAAUUGUCCUUACAGGAAAAACCGUCAUGAAGGUUUAGUUGAGAGAAGGUAGACAGAAAAAUGCCAAAACCUAAGAACAGUGAGUAGUGAAUCUGCUGGCUUCAGAUCCACUUUCAGGUUUUGGAAUGUCUGAAUAUGUCGUAGUUAGCAUUUUGUCACAAUCUCAUUUUUUAAAGCGUCUUUAGCCUUGCGUUUGGAAGAAGUAGAGCACAGGGAAAGUUGAGAAUACUAAAGAAUACCUUUUGUUAUGUUCUCAUCAUUUCUACAUCUUUAAGAACUCUGAACCGUAUACAGAACUGUACAUUCAAUUUCAAUAUGGUAGAUGAGAAAAGGGCAAGACACAUCAUAGCUUUUCUUACCACAUAGAAACUUCUCAAGUUGAUUUUUCCUAGAUCCUUAGGAUUCCAGGACUUUCUUGUACCAUCAGCAUAGAAGGAAGAAUGAGAAUGUUCUUUCUUCACUCUAUCCUGUUAAAAUGUGUCAGCUUGGUUAGUUUAAAUUCUGAAAUUAGAUUCAAAGUUUACAAAUUAUAACACCAAAUUAGGGAGAAAACACAUAAUUAUCAAUAUUUCAUAUGUUCAAGUCCUAAUUACAAAUCCACAUAUAUACAUAUACAUAUGGGUUGUAGCUUCAUUUUGUUGAAGCUACAGUGUCAUAAAUACAUUAUCCAAUGGACGGGUUCAACAGUUACACGCCCAAGUCUUCCAUAAUUUACUCUUCCAACCUUAAUAAUAAAAAAACUAGACCUAGACAAGGUACAAUGAAGUCAAGGCGAAUUCACCUACAUCAUAUUAGACAGUCUGGACAGAGUUAGUACACAAAAGAUGUAAAUCUAGAAGCAAAUACAACCUACAAGUCCUUCCAGCUAUAGAAGACCUUGAUAAGAAUAGAAAAAUAAUAAACAAUUAGGAAGAUUUGAAAAAGGAUAUUGCAGAGCAAAAGAAACAAAAUUUGAACCAAACACAUCACUAGAGAGUCAAUAAAUGUAAUUCCAAACAAGGAACAAAACAGGCAUGCCAGAAAAUUCAGUUACUGGCAUAGGGCAAAAGGUUCAGGUAAUCCCAAUGAAAAGACACAAAAGAGUGAAAGAAAAUGGAGAGGAAAUGUUGGAUAGAGAAGACAAAGACAACAUAAUAUAGGCCAGGCGCAGUGGCUCACACCUGUAAUCCCAGCACUUUGGGAGGCUGAGGUGGGUAGAUCACUUGAGGUCAGGAGUUUGAGACCAGCCUGGCCAACAUAGUGAAACCCCAUCUCUACUAAAAAUACAAAAAAAUUUAGCUGGGCAUGGUUGUGCAUGCCUGUAAUCCCAGCUACUUGGGAGGCUGAGGCAGGAGAAUCACUUGAACCCAGGGGGCGGAAGUUGCAGUGAGCCGAGAUCAUGCCACUGCACUCCAGCCUGGGCAACAGAGUGAGACCCCGUCUCAAAACACACACACACAUACACACACACACACACACACACACACACACACACACACACACAAUAUAAGCUUAACUGAUGUUUCCAAAGAGACCUCAACAUGUGAAAUAGAAGAAAUUCAGUUGUAACAUAGAAAAUUUUCCUUGACAAGAUGCAUUCAUCUGCAGAUUUAAUAAGCAUACUAUAUACCAGAUAAAAUUAUGCAGAACAGUUGAAAAACAAGCUAGUUGUAUUUUUCAACUUCAAAGAAGAAGAAAAAAAGCCUUCAAGUGUCCAAGCAGGAAAAGAAGUCACCAAAAAGAUGGUGGUCUCAGGGGAGGAGAGAAUCCAACCAGCUUUACAAAAACAUUCCACUACAGGAGACAGUGGAGCUGGAAGAAAGAAUGUAUGAUUCAAAAGUAUUAUAUUACUCAAGCAAAAAACAAUAAGCAGACAUUCUCAAACAUGAACUCAGGAUUUUUCUUGAGAAACUUACUGGUAGAAGCCUGCCAACAACAAAAAAAAUUAAUUUAAAUGAGUAAUCCAGGAAUGGAGAAACCCUGAUGAAGAGAUUCAUAGUGAGUUUGAAUCAAUUUAAAUGCAGAAGUAAGGUAAAACAGUGUGGAUACUGGUUGCAGAAUAUAACGUAAAUAUUUUAAACCCUGAAGAUGAAAAAAUAAUGCAAGCAACAAAACUGGAAGAUGGGGGAAUGAAAAAUAGCAGAGCUAACCAACUUUCAUUGCAGCAGGUCAAUCAAUGAUGCCUAAAACCAAAUUGUGCCAUUUAAAAACUAAAGACACAAACAUCUUAAAACUUUACAAAAUAUUUUUUCUCAAUUUAAAGAGAUCUUUUAGGAACUAAUACAUUCCAUAGCAAAGAGUCUGUUUUCUAAAGUUCAGUAUUUCUUUCAGUGUAAUUUCAAGUAAAAUUAAUUUUAACAUUUCAUUUAAAGUAGUAGGUAUGAUAAUGUUCUUUUUCUUCAUCUGGGUGCAAGGCGCUAGUUACACAGGUGUGCUCAUCUUGUGAAAAAUUGUUGAGCUGACACUUAUGUUUGAACUUUUUUGCAUAUAUCUUAUACUUAAAUAAAUUUUUUGAAAUUCCAUUCACAUAAAAUUCUAGGGGGUGUGAAGAGAGGGGGUGAGAGAGUCAACAGUCUGAGGCAGUGACCUGGUUUGGAAUUAAAUGCUCUCAGUAAUUUUUGCAUAAAAACGUUUGUGAACCCAACUUAAAUGGGAAUAGGAAAGUAGUAAGCUCUCCAAAUUUUGGACCCUUGGGGCAGAAACCAUUGUUUUUGCUCUCUGCUCCUGUCAACUGCAGUUUAAGAAAUCCAGUGUUGGGAGCUUCCAAGCUUUAGUCUUGGAGAGGAAAUUCUAUUAAAACAAUGUUUUUCUGUAACCCCCCUAAAUAUUGUUUCUAAAAGUAUAUUUGCAUAGCACAUAUAUAGAUGGCUAUUCACCUUUGUUAUUAUGAUCUAUAGCUGAUGAUUCAAAAUAUCUGGAAAACUUAUAUCUACUCUACUUUCUACGAAGUCUGUAGUAGCUCUUUACUAAAGGUAGAAAAAAUCAUGUUAGUGGAGUUGUAGGAGUCUCCCUGUGCCCUCAUCUAUACCCUAAGUCUGGUCAGAGGUAUACUUGCUUAUCUAUAGUGUAUAUUCUUUUAACCACACUACUGUACAAAGAUUAGCUUUAACAAUUUGGCCUGCAAAGAUUGGACUUUAGAUCAGCAUUAAUCCUGGGCAGUCCAAAAUUCAAAUGGGGCACAUGAUUAAUUUCCUUGUUUCCUAAAUGGUUUCACAAUUAAUAGAAAUUUGGAAAUAAAUUUAUGGGUGUGCCAUUAAUAGACACCUUGAACUUUAUUAUAACUAUCAUUUUCUUUCUAGAAAAUAUAUUAAACAAGGAAACAUAUAUUUUCCAUCUCUAAGGCACAGGGUGUCUUGUAUAAUUUUAUUUUGCGCAAAGUGGGUGAUUACCUUGGCCGGAAGUAUAAGGUGCUUGUUUGUGGCAUAGGGUUCAGUCAGUAAUAUUUGUCAUAAAUGUUUAUUUGAGGCUACAUGGUGUCUAUCAAAAUGACCUCAUUAGUUUCUAUAGAAGAGACUCAAAUAUCUUUCCAAUCUUGAUCUAAACUAUUAGUAAAUGUAAAUACGAAUGCUGAGGUGAUUCACAUAGUAAUUAGAUCUUGGGUUUUAGAAAGAACAACCAUGAUUUACUUAACAAAAAGUCUAUUCCUGCAGAUCAUAUGAAGCAGAAAAAGAAAGUCUGAUAAGUAAAAGAGAAAAAGAGCAGCAUAGCCAGGUAUUAAAACACAUCACUCUCAUUUAGUCUCCCCAACUAGAAGGAGAUUAUCUAAAUCAUUGGAGGAAGAAUCCAGAAUAUUCCAAAUUGAUGAUUCUUGGGAGUUUAUGAAAUAUUAAAUUAAAAAAUUAAAUUAGUUUCAGACAGCACAUUCAGCUUUGUUAUAUCCAGGUUGAAGCAAAUUAGAUGCCAUUAAAAAUGGUCAGUUCAGCUGCUUUUAUAAAUGUUGUUCUUGCCUGUUAUAUCCAGGUUGAAGCAAAUUGGAUGCCAUUAAAAAUGGUCAGUUCAGCUGCUUUUAUAAAUGUUGUUUUUUACCUACUGUAGGGACCAUAAUUUUAAUGUGUUCAAACAAUUGGUUCAAGUGCUUCACACUUCUGUGUACCAUUUGUGUAAUUUCUCCAUGACAGAAAAACAGAAGGCUUGGGUUUUUAAUAUCUAAUGUCACGUUCAUUCAAAAUUCUAUUUUUUAUUUAUUCAAGCACGAUGUAUUUAUUUGCCUUCCUUCUAGAAUAUGACCUUCAAUCUACCUUCCUGAAACAGUUUUCCUUGCUUCUCCCCUCUCUUUCCCCAUCAAAAAGGCCAAAAGUUGAAAUGGGAGGAAUGGGAAGAUAAUGCACUCCCAAGCCCCUAAUUAUUUUGGAAUGCUCUGUAAUCUACUCAAAAAAGCAAGAUGUACAAGGAGGUCAAGUUCACCUACAAGAUACUGUCUAAGGCAAUAUAAUAAAUUAACAAAAAAAUUAAUAAACGGACCCACCAAAGUAAGUGACUAAUUCUAGAAUUAUGACUGCAUUCAUAUAAAGGCCAUAAAACAUCUGAGUAGAUUUGUGUUAAAAUAUCAAAAUUAGGUAGAAGUAAAUCAUCUCUAACAGACAUUCUACUUAUUUGAGAGGAUGGGGUGGCAGCCCACGUAGUGUAAUUAAAAAAGCAAAAUGUCUGGAGUCAGACCCAUCCCCCAUACCCUUCACCCCCAUGUAAAUUACCUCUCUUCCACUUCCUAACUUGUGAGCUCAGAGAAGACAUGUACUCUGCAAGCCUCAGUGUCUUCACCUUGCAGAGUUUAUGGAAAAAUUGAAGAUGAGGUGUGCUUCUUGUAGAAUAUCAGGUGCAUG
Molecule: long non-coding RNA, 6852 nt
Filed under: Homo sapiens (human)
Lineage: Eukaryota; Metazoa; Chordata; Mammalia; Primates; Hominidae
Description: non-protein coding MID1IP1-AS1:8
Rfam family: Metazoan signal recognition particle RNA (bases 3331-3478)
Source: RNAcentral